AACCUGACUUUGCAAUUUGCAAUAUAAAUAUAUAUUGCAAAUUGCAUAUAUAUAUGUGUAUAUAUAUAUAUAUAUAUAUACUGAGUUGUGUGUGAUAUAACCUAGAAAGUAAAAACAAAAACAAAAACAAAAAGGCACAGAUGGAUUUAGACAAAGAAUUGAUUCCUAGUCUUCAAAUAAAAGAUACUGUCUGGAACAGGCAGUAAGCCAGCACAAGAUACCUAUGCAUUAUAAGAAAGCCAAGAUUCAGGCUUAUUAAAGGGGACCCCUGGUGACAUAGAAGGCUGAG
This 289-nucleotide long non-coding RNA is filed under the name Pan troglodytes (chimpanzee). RNAcentral's name for it is "long non-coding RNA NONPTRT010168". The record is from RNAcentral. Lineage: Eukaryota; Metazoa; Chordata; Mammalia; Primates; Hominidae.